Dromiciops gliroides (monito del monte) is the source of this 130-nucleotide small nucleolar RNA. RefSeq annotates it as small nucleolar RNA ACA64. The transcript has a single exon. NCBI's taxonomy places the organism in Eukaryota, Metazoa, Chordata, Mammalia, Microbiotheria, Microbiotheriidae. The record is from RefSeq and is a predicted model, not a curated record.
GUCGCCUGAAAAUCAUCCGUGGCCUGCUCCGUGGUCACGGGUGAGACCACGGCGCCCACAGCUACCAGAGGUCUUUAAGUAUAUCCCCCAUAGACUGAGUGUGGGGGAUAAAACCCAGGCCCCGACAAAU